AAUCUGACUUAUUUCUACUUGAUAGUGUAAGCUAUUGGUCUUAAACUAAGGAAAAGUUUGAUUCACAUGGGACCAAAGCUGGGAGCAGCAGCAGGCCGGGCGGCCGUUGGGGCCGUUGGAGGCUGCCUGUGCCACGCUGGGGUGCUUUGAACAGGGAAGGAGGGAGUGAGACAUCCCAGUGGCGUUCUUGAGAUGACUAUGGACGAGAAAUAUGUAAACAGCAUUUGGGAUCUCCUAAAAAAUGCAAUCCAAGAGAUCCAGCGUAAGAACAAUAGUGGUCUCAGUUUUGAGGAGCUAUAUAGGAAUGCAUAUACAAUGGUGUUGCAUAAACAUGGAGAAAAACUCUACACUGGACUGAGAGAAGUGGUCACUGAGCAUCUCAUAAACAAGG
Molecule: non-coding RNA, 391 nt
Organism: Meleagris gallopavo (turkey)
Lineage: Eukaryota; Metazoa; Chordata; Aves; Galliformes; Phasianidae
Source: RefSeq, a predicted model, not a curated record